Molecule: long non-coding RNA, 1272 nt
Organism: Herpailurus yagouaroundi (jaguarundi)
Lineage: Eukaryota; Metazoa; Chordata; Mammalia; Carnivora; Felidae
Exons: 3
Source: RefSeq, a predicted model, not a curated record
UGCGGUUGGACCUGCCUGUGUCUGGGCUGCGAAGAGUAAGCAAAAGAGAAUGACGGUCUUUCAUCAUUGUAUUAGCAAAGAAUCCUGAAAUCGGAUUCAUGUGGCCUGGGGAUGCCGGGGAGUCGCAGAAGACACUUGGGGAAGGCGCUUCAUUUUCAUAUCUGUGAUAAUGCGACUCGCCCCAGCAUGUCGUGGCAAAGCUCCAGUGAGGCGAAGCACCUUGUCAACGCUGGAGAACCACGCAGGUUUGACAGGUGGCUGCGGCUACAGUUGCCUGUUUUGUUUUCUCCUUUGGUCUUUUCCUGUGAAGGUGAGAUUUGGCCAUGCUCUCACUGGGUGUUCAUCCUCCUGCACCCGGGGCUCAUCGCCGGGGUCCCUGAGUCUGACUCGGCAAGAAAUGAUUGAACGUCGACACUGCCAGAGAGAUACCGAGGAAUGGAGAACACCUCGAUCAAAGCUUGACCAAGCUCCUAACGUGCUGCCAAAUUAUAUUUUAAAAGGAGGGUUCCAAUUGUCCAUCCCGCCAGCCCUGUUUGAGAGAGGCCUCUGGUGGAGCCAACCCCAAACCUGCAGUUAGAAAGCGAGCCAGAAAUUGAAGCCAGGUCGCUGGCCCCACGGUGCAGGCUUCUGUACCAUUAGGAGGUUGGCCUUGCUGGUCUCGGGAUCCUGCACUUUGAGAACUGAGAAGUCUUCGGUUUAUGCCACGGUCCCUUUAAGGUUGAUGAAGAGAGAGCCCAACUUACGGAAACUGAGUCCCAUAAUCUGGGUAACUGGGUCACUCCUCUGGUGACUCCACUGGCUUUUGGGGUUUCCCCAUUUGUCUUGCCAAGUCUGGCUUGUCUGUACCCAGAGCAGCAUGAGACCACAGGUGACAGUUUCUCAGAGUGACAGAAACAUACCUGAACCAAGCCCAGAAGUGUGCCUGCACUGGGCCCGCCGGGAAAGUCUCAUCCUUGGGAUGGUUGGGUGAUGAUCGAGAUUGUUUGUUUGUUUGUUUGAUUGAUUCAUUCGUUCAUUCAUUCAGCACGUAUUUAUUGACGGCCUCAUGUUGUGGUCCUGUGUCUGACUCUGAGGGAACCGAGUUGAAUUGGAUGUACUUGUUUCUCUCCCGGGGCUCACAGUCUGGGCCCCAGGAAUUCUACCUCAGAAAAUCUGGGAGGGGCAGUCCAAGAAUAUGGGCCAUCCCCCAGGCGAUUCUGGGACAAGUGGUCUGGGUGGAGGGUGACAGCCUCCAGAAGAUCUGGACCAAGAAGUCAGAGAAACUGUCAUGGG